RNAcentral lists this long non-coding RNA (1356 nucleotides) under Chrysemys picta bellii (western painted turtle). Its description in RNAcentral is "lncRNA (ENSCPBG00000005626.1)". The record is from RNAcentral. Lineage: Eukaryota; Metazoa; Chordata; Testudines; Emydidae.
GAGGGUUUGGUGUGACAGGGUCUCUGGCCUUAGUCAGGGUCUGUGCAUUGCCCAGAAAAAUGGAGCCCCGACCUCGGAUGGGAUUUGCAGCAGGACUUUAACAAGUAUAAAAUAUUAUCUAGCUGAAAGGCACCUUUGCCUCCUGCAGUAACCCAUCCCUGCCCCAAGCACAGAAAGAAGGGAGGAAGCAAGAAGCAGCCCCAGUGAGCUCAGACAUAUUAGUGACCCCUCUCCCUUUCCACUUCUCUCUCUAGACGGCUCUGGGUGCAAAUUCUGCCCUGCGACCUGGCUGCUGCACAGAGACAAGUGCUAUUGGGUCUCCGGAAAAAUGAAACCGUGGAACGAGAGCCGUGACGACUGUUCAGCGAAGCACUCUCAGCUGCUGGUGAUCCGGGACAGGGAGGAGAUGGAGUUCAUAAAGAAUAGUACACAAGGUUCAACUUUUGCGUGGAUUGGACUUUCUCUCUCGUCCCGGGGGAAGACCUGGAUCUGGCUGAACAGCUCCCAGUUAAAUCAGACUCUGUGAGUGUUUACUUUUGCAAAACACUUUCCUUUCCCUCUUUGGGCAGAAGUCGCUGGCGACAGUGAUGGGGGGUAAGAGGAGGGACACAAUUCUUUGAGCUGGUUCUUUGACCUGCUGACACCCCCGCCAUCUAUUCUGUCAUCAAUUCAUCCAUCUAAUCUAUCAUCCACUUUAGACCACCUGAAAAACCUGGUCUGUAUCAACGAUUUCUUGAAAUGCUCGUAAACUCGCAUGGCAGGGAGCUAAACUGGCUAUUUAAAAUGGUGAAUUUCUCGGCUGUAAACUUUUUUGGAGUAAGUGAUGGUUGGAGAUCUGUUUAUACAACCUAUGGAUUUUCUGUGUGAUUAUGAAAUCACUGUGCAUAGCUUUAUCAAGCUGCAAACUCCUUUUUCUCUUCUCUAUGUUCUCUAUUGCUUCCAUGCUUAGAUUCCAAAGGCUGAUGACAAAAGAAUACCGAAAGAGAGUUGUUGACAUUAGCUACUCUCCCAUUGAAAUGGAAAGGCUCUAAAGGAUAGAUUAGCUCCCAACAAAGGGCAGCUGGUUUGUCAGGGGAGAUGUCACCUUGGCCAGGGGUCUGUGAUCACCUGAGGAGGCUGAGCAGGGAGUCACCUGACAGGAGAAUGGAAAAUUAUAAAAAGGGAGGGAAUUCAUACGCGCUGACUUUUGGUUUUGCCAGUGGGUGCUCUCCUGAGGCCCCGCCCCCCCCCUGAGGCCCUGCCCCCUCCCGAGGCCCCACCCCCCGAUCCACCCCUCCCUUGCCCAUCCCGGUCCACUUGCCCAGCGGGCACUGGUACUCUCAGUCUCUCUGUGCUGCGAGGGAUGUUUUUGGAGAC